CACGUAAAACACAUAGCCAGAGUCCGUCCCAUUCUCUCUCGGGCCAACACAGAGAUGCUGAUGCAUGCUUUUAUCACCAGUCGUAUUGACUACUGUAAUGCCCUGCUCUCUGGUCUUCCCAAAA
Molecule: long non-coding RNA, 124 nt
Organism: Melanotaenia boesemani (Boeseman's rainbowfish)
Lineage: Eukaryota; Metazoa; Chordata; Actinopteri; Atheriniformes; Melanotaeniidae
Exons: 3
Source: RefSeq, a predicted model, not a curated record